GCAGUGGGGAAUAUUGCACAAUGGGGGAAACCCUGAUGCAGCGACGCCGCGUGAGCGAUGAAGUAUUUCGGUAUGUAAAGCUCUAUCAGCAGGGAAGAAGAUGACGGUACCUGACUAAGAAGCCCCGGCUAACUACGUGCCAGCAGCCGCGGUAAUACGUAGGGGGCAAGCGUUAUCCGGAUUUACUGGGUGUAAAGGGAGCGUAGACGGCGGUGCAAGCCAGAUGUGAAAGCCCGGGGCUCAACCCCGGGACUGCAUUUGGAACUGUAUGGCUGGAGUGUCGGAGAGGCAGGCGGAAUUCCUAGUGUAGCGGUGAAAUGCGUAGAUAUUAGGAGGAACACCAGUGGCGAAGGCGGCCUGCUGGACGAUGACUGACGUUGAGGCUCGAAAGCGUGGGGAGCAAACAGGAUUAGAUACCCUGGUAGUCCACGCCGUAAACGAUGACUACUAGGUGUCGGGCAGCAAAGCUGUUCG
Molecule: ribosomal RNA, 474 nt
Filed under: uncultured bacterium
Lineage: Bacteria
Description: bacterial SSU rRNA
Rfam family: Bacterial small subunit ribosomal RNA
Source: RNAcentral